RNAcentral lists this ribosomal RNA (263 nucleotides) under uncultured bacterium. RNAcentral describes it as "partial 16S ribosomal RNA". It matches the Rfam family "Bacterial small subunit ribosomal RNA", at positions 793 to 1055 of the family's 1533-position model. The record is from RNAcentral.
GUCCACGCCGUAAACGUUGGGAACUAGAUGUGGGGCCAUUCCACGGCUUCCGUGUCGCAGCUAACGCAUUAAGUUCCCCGCCUGGGGAGUACGGCCGCAAGGCUAAAACUCAAAGGAAUUGACGGGGGCCCGCACAAGCGGCGGAGCAUGCGGAUUAAUUCGAUGCAACGCGAAGAACCUUACCAAGGCUUGACAUAUACGAGAACGCUGCAGAAAUGUAGAACUCUUUGGACACUCGUAUACAGGUGGUGCAUGGUUGUCGU